Molecule: ribosomal RNA, 443 nt
Filed under: uncultured bacterium
Lineage: Bacteria
Description: partial 16S ribosomal RNA
Rfam family: Bacterial small subunit ribosomal RNA
Source: RNAcentral
ACUACGGGUGGCAGCAGUGGGGAAUAUUGGGCAAUGGGCGCAAGCCUGACCCAGCAACGCCGCGUGAAGGAAGAAGGCUUUCGGGUUGUAAACUUCUUUUCUCAGGGACGAAGCAAGUGACGGUACCUGAGGAAUAAGCCACGGCUAACUACGUGCCAGCAGCCGCGGUAAUACGUAGGUGGCAAGCGUUAUCCGGAUUUACUGGGUGGAAAGGGCGUGUAGGCGGGGACGCAAGUCAGAUGUGAAAACCACGGGCUCAACCUGUGGCCUGCAUUUGAAACUGUGUUUCUUGAGUACUGGAGAGGCAGACGGAAUUCCUAGUGUAGCGGUGAAAUGCGUAGAUAUUAGGAGGAACACCAGUGGCGAAGGCGGUCUGCUGGACAGCAACUGACGCUGAGGCACGAAAGCGUGGGGAGCAAACAGGAUUAGAUAUCCGAGUAGUC